This 497-nucleotide ribosomal RNA is filed under the name uncultured bacterium. Its description in RNAcentral is "partial 16S ribosomal RNA". It matches the Rfam family "Bacterial small subunit ribosomal RNA", at positions 28 to 507 of the family's 1533-position model. The record is from RNAcentral.
GAUGAACGCUGGCGGCGUGCCUAAUACAUGCAAGUCGAGCGAACAGACGAGGAGCUUGCUCCUCUGACGUUAGCGGCGGACGGGUGAGUAACACGUGGAUAACCUACCUAUAAGACUGGGAUAACUUCGGGAAACCGGAGCUAAUACCGGAUAAUAUAUUGAACCGCAUGGUUCAAUAGUGAAAGACGGUUUUGCUGUCACUUAUAGAUGGAUCCGCGCCGCAUUAGCUAGUUGGUAAGGUGACGGCUUACCAAGGCAACGAUGCGUAGCCGACCUGAGAGGGUGAUCGGCCACACUGGAACUGAGACACGGUCCAGACUCCUACGGGAGGCAGCAGUAGGGAAUCUUCCGCAAUGGGCGAAAGCCUGACGGAGCAACGCCGCGUGAGUGAUGAAGGUCUUCGGAUCGUAAAACUCUGUUAUUAGGGAAGAACAAAUGUGUAAGUAACUAUGCACGUCUUGACGGUACCUAAUCAGAAAGCCACGGCUAACUACGUG